UGGCCACUGUCUCUAGUGCUUUAGCGCAUUAAUUGGACAUAUAUUUUCUGAGGUAUGCCUAGGAAUUACUAGUAUCGCCUCUGCUAAUCUUUGUUCCCUCUCCCCUUGUCUUCUAAUCCUUCUGUUAGUAACUUCUCUUUUAUUCUUGCUACCUAAUUGAAUUGAAAGAUGGAACUGAGGACCUACAAAGGAAUAACCCUUACCAUUUUAUUUUGUGAUAGUCUUGAGCCAUGGAUUGUUGACUUGAUAGGACAUUUUGUUAUUUGUGAAUAGAACACAUGCCUUUGAAUUAGAUAAGCCUAAAUUUGAGUUCCCCAGUGAGUGAGCAAAUUAUUUAACCUUUGUCAGCAUCGAUUUUCUUAUUCUUAAAAAGGAAAAAAUAACAUUUACUUUGCAGAAUUGGGGGGUUAGUUUUAAAUGAAAUAUUGUAUGUAGAGCACAUAGCACAGUGCCUGGCAUAUAAUGCUUCCAAUAAAUGGUAGGUAUUAUUGUUUCUAUUUAGGGAGGCAUGUGAAAAAUUUUAAUUUAAAUACCAUGCAUUUCAUUGGCCCUAAAUUCUCUUUUUACGAUGUUAACAAUUUGUAGGUGUGGAUCAAGCUUACCUCAUGUCUUCUCUACCACUCUGCUCUCCAACUUACUUUCAGAAAGUACUUUCCCUGGGAGGAUGGAGAUGACAUCCUGAGUUCGACGAGCCUUUGCAAGGAGAGGGGAGGGGACUAAAUGUUGUCUUUUCUGUACCAUUCUUAUGUAACAUAUGCCCACAUGCCAUGUGUUUUCAGUCUUCUAUCUCCCCAGGAUAUUACUGCUGAGGAAAAACUAUCUUUAGUGCUACACACAGAAGGAAUGCCUGCUGUAAAGCUCUGGGCAAAGGAUAAUGUAAUUCUCUCACAGCAAAGUCUUGGCUCGACUCAGGAUUGGACAUCAACAUGGACUUAGCUCCUUGAGAAAGGAGAAGAGCUACUUGGAACUCUUAAGGAAAAUCUUCUUAGAUAUCCUAACCUAAGGAUAUUGAUGUUAUAAAAUUUUUAAGAUUCCUUCUUUCAUUUGAUAGAAAUCAAUUUUAUACAGGACAUCUAAACUUCACCUUACAUGGAGACACAAUAGAAACUCACACAAAUUAAAAAUACCAAAAGAUUCAGUGUUUUUUUCACUCUUAGUUUUUGGAAAAAUAUGAUGAACACAAGUGGAUAUUUGACAAUGUUUUUAAAAUGAACAGAAUGUUAAUUUUCAUGUAAUAAUAGUCAUAAAACCAUUUUAGCAGCUCAUCAGGUUGAUCAUACAUACUCAUGGUACUAUAUUUAGUGGAAUGAAUAGGCAGUGUUUUCCUGUUUCCUUAUUACUUCUAUUAUGAAGGUUCCUGAGAUUGCAUAUAUAGCCAUAGUAACUUUUUAUUAAAAAUAGUUAUUUGGCCAUUGUUUUAUAGAUUUGGUAGUUUGUAGUGUAUAUACAUAGGUAUAUCCAGUUGAAUACUAAUUUACAGUUUUGUUUUUGAAGGUUUAUUUUCUAACAGUCAUUUAAUAUGGCAUUAGAUUUCAAAUUAUUUUUUAAUUUUUAAUUUUUAAUUUUUUUUUUUUUUUGCUUUUUAGGGCCUCAUGUGUGGCAUAUGGAAGUUCCUGGGCUAGGGUUUGAAUCGGAGCUGCAGCUGCUGGCCCACACAACAGCCAGAGCAAAGCAGGAUCUGAGCCACAUCUGCAACCUACACCAUAAUUCACAACAAUGCCGAAUACUUAACCCACUGAGUGAAGCCAGGCAUCGAACCCUCGCUUCAUGGAUACUAGUUGGGUUCAUUACCACUGAGCACAAUGGGAACUCUAUCAAAUUAUUAUUUUAAAAUAAACUCUAAGCACUGGUGGGAUUGUUUUAUUUUCCUCCCAAAUUUAGAUUGCCUUUUCUUAUCUGUUCGGAAGAGCAUGGGACAAAAUUAGUUAUAUGGAAUUUGUGAUUUGUUUAUUGGAAAUAAAUGUCCCUAACAAGUUACAGCAAAAUCUCAUUUCAUUCAUGCUAUGCCUAUGAACAGAAAGUAUAAAAUUUACUUUAGAUAAGAGUCAGUGGAUUUAAUACCCACAAAUGUUGCCAGGUUGGCAACCUUUGAAUGAUACCAGAUGGACAUGGAGAUUCUAUUUUAUUUUUUGUAAUGAACAGAAUAGAGAAGCAGGUGCUGUGGGACUACUCUCAGGGUUCCGUGGGGAAAUUUGGCUUCUAUUUCCAUUCUAGCAUUAUUUCUUGUUUUGAAAUAGGUAAGCACUAAGUAUUGAAGGAAGGGGGUGAAUGGUCACCGGUUGGGACUUGCUAUGAAAUGAAUUACUACUCAUAACUACUACUGUGUUGUAGCUAGGCUCACAAUCAGGAUUUCAGUAGUACUCGAACACUUAACAUUAUAGAGCUGUUAGAAUCAAUUAGGUCAGCACUACUGCAUCUCAUAAACGAAAGGGCUUAGGACAUUUUUACCGAAGAGACAAAAGAAGGAAGGAGAUUUGCCCGAAGUUACACAGCUAGUUACUGGUAGUUGGGGAUACCCAACUCCAGAUUCCUAACUUUGAAUCUAUCACUCUUACUAUCACACUAUAUUGCCAAACACUUAACAAGGAGAUGAAUAAAAAUAUCAUCUGUUGACUCCCCCCCCCCCCCGCCACAGUAUGAAUGUGUGAAACAAACAAAGGAAUUAGCUGUUUGUUGGAAAUUUUGCCUUAAGAAAGCAUUUCCUUAUUCAGUAGAUUCUCUCCAGAGUUUCCACACAGACUUUCUUCUUUGGCAAUUAGCACAUUAGAAAGGAAAAAUAUUUGCAGCUUAAUUUAAAUCUUCUAAUUAACAGUCAUUAUUAUUUUUAAUAUAAUCCAAUUGCACUACAAACAUUGGAGAAAACAAUUAAGGCAAGCUGAGAGAGAGGGGGAAAAAACCUUUCACAAUCAACACAUUGUUGAUCUCUUCUAGAUCAUUUAAUAUUGUGGGUAUUUUCCUGGAAUUACAUAAGCUAUCAUCCCCCAGUCUCUUCAUCUUGAUUGUAUGGUCUGUGACUGUGUUCAAAUAUCCUAAUAUAAAUACUCUGUAUUAGGUGGUUAUAGCAGCGAAAAUUCUGUCCCAUCACAACACUGUAAGAUGACAAAGUUAUAGGCUAUAAAGUGUACAGAAACAGAAACACAUAUAAAUAUGGAAAUGUGUCUUGGUCUAUGGUUAGAGGUAUUGCUAACCAAACUCUAAGUAUUAAGAUAUUAUAUUCCUUUCCCUAUAUUCUUCUUUUUCUCUUUAUUAUUUCUAUCAGCUGCCAUUCAUUCUUGGCUGGGUAUUUAACUUGCCUGGUUCUCAAUUCUGCAUUCUUGGAACCAUCAGUCCUCUAGUAGCUUCUAUCCAGAUUGCCUGGCACUCCCUCUCCCUUCUCUUCAUAGACCUCUGCUCACAAAAUAACCACCCCUCACCCCAACUAGACUCACCCCUACUGAGAUCAGUCAUAGCCAGUGCUUGCUGCAGGAAAGAUUGAAGCCCUUCUUUUCUAGCCCAGUAUGGAGAGACUUUCUCUUAACACACACUUUUAAUCGUAUGACCCUAACCCAGGACUCUUUUCUUGCUAAAGAUUUAUUUUUCAGAGCCAGUAUAAUAAUGCAGAGGUUAAGCAUUUGAGCUCUGGAGAUAGGCGGACCUAAAUUUAAAAUUUGACUCUAGCCCUUGUUACCUCUUUGACAUUAGGCAAAAUAUUUUUCCUUUCUGCAUUUUAGUUUCUACAAAUUAGAGUUAUAGGAGGCUUAAAUGAGAGAAUUAAUGCAGUUAAUCUGGCAAAGAGGAGUAAGUACCAGUAUAUGGUGUUUAUAAUGAUGUGAGGCAGGAUAGCAUGGACAGUGAGAGAUUGGGCUUGGGAAGCAGACAGACAUGUAUUUAAAUCCUGAUGCCACUCAUCACGAGCAAGUUAUUUUUUUUCAGAGCCUCAGUGUUCUCAUUUGCAAAAUUAAAUGAACAAUAGUGUCUACUUUGCAGAAGAUUUAGUGAGAUAGAAGCUCUAAAUUUCUUGGCUGUCUAUGGUAUAUCUGGAGAGAGAAUGCAAGAAAUUGAGUUCAUGCUGUAUUACAUUGCCUUUCUCUGACUUCUCAGGGUUACCCUCUUGCUGCCCUCCUGGAAUCUAAGCACAUUACCCAGAAAAAUCGAAGUCUGCACUUAUCUGUCCAUCCAUUUAUUUAUUCAUACAACAGUAUCUAUUAUUGGCUAUUGCUGUCCUUUUUUGACCUCUGCAUUGGACUUCCUCCCAUAACUGAUAGCUAGGUCUGUUCCCAGAGUCUUUCACCUCUCAUUUAUUUCCAAGUCUUCAGAAAUUUCAGUCUCCCCUGUCCUUCUAUGGGUACUGGAGCCAUAUCCCGUGGCCCCUGAGCUUGUCCUUUCUACUUGAGGCUGAUUGGCUCUACUUCUAAUACAGAACUUUUUGCUCUUAAACUAAUACUCAAGACUUCCUCCUCCUGUAACUUAUUUCUCCCUUAUUUUCUUCUUUCAGGUUCAGGUUCUUGAGCUAUCUAAUUUGACAGUGAGCUUAUUUGGUAAACCAUUCUGAGCUUAAGAAUUAGAGGAUAUUAUCCAUCCAAUAAAUAUACUCCAAGAGUCUACCAGAUGCUAGGCACUAUAGUAACUUCUGUGCAAGUCAGUGGUGAAUUAGAUGGAUGUAGUAUUUGUCACCACAGAUAUUAGUCAAGAGGGGAAGUAAAUAGACAAAACAGCGUGCAGUGAAGAUUUCUAUGGCUGGGGAACCACUUAGGAUGUGCACCUAAUCCAGAAGUGAGGGAUCAGGGAUGGCUUCCUGGAAGAAGAUAGGUCUUAACCAAGAGAAAUGGAUGGUUGCAAGUCAGUGUUUCAGGCUAAGGCAAGUACAACAGUUCUGAGAAAAGAGAGGGCCUGCCUUGUUCAUGGUAAUAGGAAACAUUCGGCAUGGCAUAUAAACAUGGAUUGAAAAUAGAUUAGGAGUUCCCGCUGUGGCACAAAGGAAUCAGUGGCAUCUCUGGAGCCCUGGGAUGUAGAUUCAAUCCCCAGCCCAGCACAGUGGGUCAAGGAUACUAGAUUGCCUCGAGUAGGUCGCAACUACAGCUUGGAUCUGAAG
RNAcentral lists this long non-coding RNA (5071 nucleotides) under Sus scrofa (pig). Its description in RNAcentral is "lncRNA (ENSSSCG00000056409.1)". The record is from RNAcentral. Lineage: Eukaryota; Metazoa; Chordata; Mammalia; Artiodactyla; Suidae.